AUUGAACGCUGGCGGCAGGCCUAACACAUGCAAGUCGAACGAGUGGCGGACGGGUGAGUAAUGUCUGGGAAACUGCCCGAUGGAGGGGGCUAACUACUGGAAACGGUAGCUAAUACCGCAUACCAUCGGAUGUGCCCAGAUGGGAUUAGCUAGUAGGUGGGGUAACGGCUCACCUAGGCGACGCUCCCUAGCUGGUCUGAGAGGAUGACCAGCCACACGGGAACUGAGACACGGUCCAGACUCCUACGGUAGGCAGCAGUGGGGAAUAUUGCACAAUGGGGGAAAGCCUGAUGCAGCCAUGCCGCGGGUAUGAAGAAGGCCUUCGGGUUGUAAAGUACUUUCGGCGAGGAGGCGUUACUCGCAGAAGAAGCACCGGCUAACUCCGUGCCAGCAGCCGCGGUAAUUC
This 406-nucleotide ribosomal RNA is filed under the name uncultured bacterium. Its description in RNAcentral is "partial 16S ribosomal RNA". It matches the Rfam family "Bacterial small subunit ribosomal RNA", at positions 30 to 526 of the family's 1533-position model. The record is from RNAcentral.